RNAcentral lists this ribosomal RNA (470 nucleotides) under uncultured bacterium. RNAcentral describes it as "bacterial SSU rRNA". It matches the Rfam family "Bacterial small subunit ribosomal RNA", at positions 328 to 794 of the family's 1533-position model. The record is from RNAcentral.
GGGCCAGACUCCUACGGGAGGCAGCAGUGAGGAAUAUUGGUCAAUGGGCGGAAGCCUGAACCAGCCAAGUCGCGUGAGGGAAGAAGGCCCUGCGGGUCGCAGACCUCUUUGGACGGGGAGCAAGGCCGCCGACGUGUCGGCGGAAGGAGAGUACCCGUAGAACAAGCAUCGGCUAACUCCGUGCCAGCAGCCGCGGUAAUACGGAGGAUGCGAGCGUUAUCCGGAUUUACUGGGUGUAAAGGCGGCGCAGACGGCGAUGCAAGCCAGGAGGGAAAGCCCGGGGCCCAACCCCGGGACUGCUCUUGGAACUGCGUGGCUGGAGUGCAGGAGGGGCAGGCGGAAUUCCUGGUGUAGCGGUGAAAUGCGUAGAUAUCAGGAGGAACACCGGUGGCGAAGGCGGCCUGCUGGACCGUGACUGACGUUGAGGCUCGAGAGCGUGGGGAGCAAACAGGAUUAGAUACCCGGGUAAC